Molecule: long non-coding RNA, 376 nt
Filed under: Lupinus angustifolius (narrow-leaved blue lupine)
Lineage: Eukaryota; Viridiplantae; Streptophyta; Magnoliopsida; Fabales; Fabaceae
Description: long non-coding RNA (LANG_LNC001726)
Source: RNAcentral
UUGGAUAAGAGUGAAGAUAAUAGAUAACUACAUAAUGAGAUAUUAAAUGUCCAUUUUACAAAGAGAAAGAAUAAUUAUAUGCUUAAGGAUUCAAACAUAAGUUAAAAUUGUAAAAUUAAAAUUGUAAAAGUUUAAUCUUAAUUGCAAUGAGCAACAAGAUAGACAAAUAAACUUUAGUUUUAAUGUUGGCCCGUCGGGCCAGCCCGGCCCUCCAUGGCCCGUCUAAAAAACGGGUUGAAUAUGGGCUUUUGGGCUAAAACCCCUAGCCCGGCCCGCUAAAAACACCUAUCCGAACGGGCUGGCCUGUUGGGCCAAGCCCAUUUUGCCACCCCUACCUCAUACACCUUUGAGUGCAAGAGGAUUAUUCGGAGCCAGC